UGCCAGCAGUCGCGGUUACACUAAGAGAUCAAGUUAUAUAAUAUAGGUAAAAAGGCAGUUAAAUAUUAAUUAAAAUAUUAAUGUAUAAGACUGUUUAUUUAAAAGUAAAAUUUAUAUAUAAACACAUAUUUCAAUGUAAAUUAAUGAAAUUGAACCUGCGAAACCCUUGAGGGAAACUGGGAUUAGAUACCCCAUUAUUCUUGGAUGUAAAUAGAUGUAAGUCUACCAGAGUACUACGAAUUAAUUUAUAAAAUUUAAAACUCAAAGAGCUUGGCGGUGUUUUAGACCUUUCAGGGGAACCUGUCUCAUAAUCGACAGUCCACGUUAAACCUAGCCUUUAUUUGUAAAACAGUUUGUAUACCGUCGUCGUCAGGUAACUUUUUAGAAAAUAGAAGUUAGCAGUAAAAUUUAUAGUGAAUUUAAACGUCAGAUCAAGGUGCAGCUUAUAUAAAGGUGAGGAUGGGUUACAAUUAAUAUUUAUAAUACGGAUAAAUUAGUGAAGUCUAACUUAAUGAAGGAGGACUUGAAAGUAAAGAAAAUUAUAUGAAUAGUUUGAAUAUGGCUCUGAAACAUGCACACAUCGCCCGCCACUCU
RNAcentral lists this ribosomal RNA (594 nucleotides) under Casmaria erinaceus. RNAcentral's name for it is "partial 12S ribosomal RNA". The record is from RNAcentral. Lineage: Eukaryota; Metazoa; Mollusca; Gastropoda; Littorinimorpha; Cassidae.